Molecule: ribosomal RNA, 967 nt
Filed under: Auriscalpium vulgare
Lineage: Eukaryota; Fungi; Basidiomycota; Agaricomycetes; Russulales; Auriscalpiaceae
Description: eukaryotic LSU rRNA
Rfam family: Eukaryotic large subunit ribosomal RNA
Source: RNAcentral
GCUGAACUUAAGCAUAUCAAUAAGCGGAGGAAAAGAAACUAACAAGGAUUCCCCUAGUAACUGCGAGUGAAGCGGGAAAAGCUCAAAUUUAAAAUCUGGCGGUCUCUGGCUGUCCGAGUUGUAGUCUGGAGAAGUGUUUUCCGCGCUGGACCGUGUACAAGUCUCCUGGAACGGAGCGUCAUAGAGGGUGAGAAUCCCGUCUUUGACACGGACUACCAGUGCUCUGUGAUGCGCUCUCAAAGAGUCGAGUUGUUUGGGAAUGCAGCUCAAAAUGGGUGGUGAAUUCCAUCUAAAGCUAAAUAUUGGCGAGAGACCGAUAGCGAACAAGUACCGUGAGGGAAANAUGAAAAGCACUUUGGAAAGAGAGUUAAACAGUACGUGAAAUUGUUGAAAGGGAAACACUNGAAGUCAGUCGCGUUCNUNGAGANUNAGCCUUGCCUUCCGGCCUGGUGUANUUNUNGUUGAACGGGCCMGCAUCAAUUUUGAUNGUCGGAUAAAGGCGGGAGGAAGGUGGCACCCCUCGGGGUGUGUUAUAGCCUCCCGUCACAUACGACGGUUGGGAUUGAGGACCGCAGCACGCCUUUAUGGUCGGGGUUCGCCCACGUUCGUGCUUAGGAUGCUGGCGUAAUGGCUUUAAANGACCCGUCUUGAAACACGGACCAAGGAGUNUAACAUGCCCGCGAGUGUUCGGGUGGAAAACCCGUGCGCGUAAUGAAAGUGAAAGUUGGGACCUCUGUNGUGGAGGGCACCGACGCCCGGACCAGACCUUCUGUGACGGAUCUGCGGUAGAGCGUGUAUGUUGGGACCCGAAAGAUGGUGAACUAUGCCUGAAUAGGGUGAAGCCAGAGGAAACUCUGGUGGAGGCUCGUAGCGAUUCUGACGUGCAAAUCGAUCGUCAAAUUUGGGUAUAGGGGCGAAAGACUAAUCNAACCAUCUAGUNGCUGGUUCCUGCCGAANUUUCCCNCCA